Molecule: long non-coding RNA, 716 nt
Organism: Nelumbo nucifera (sacred lotus)
Lineage: Eukaryota; Viridiplantae; Streptophyta; Magnoliopsida; Proteales; Nelumbonaceae
Source: RefSeq, a predicted model, not a curated record
CGUAACCAUUAAUCAGCGCUCAUAUGCACCGCUAAUGAUAUUGCCACGGAAACUAGUUAACCUUAGCAAUAGCCCAUAUCAAUUCAUAUAUUUGAAAGUUUUCCUCUUUUCUCUCUCCCACUAAACUCUAUUUUCAACCCGUGUUUCCUUUUUAUCUCCCACUCCAAACCCUCUUCUUCUCCGUUUAUAAGCUCCACUGACACCAUCUUUGUCAUGCUUCAAGUAAUAGUCGAAAGCAGAUCAUCUAUAUUGUGCUUCAAGCCAACUCUGCAUUCCAUCGGAGCUUACGUCCCAACUUAAAACCAAUUGAUAGAAAUCUCAGCCUCUUGCUUAUUCUCCUCUUGACCAACAUCCAUACGCUUCACUACCAUUUUCAAGCAUAAUACAAACUUAUGAAAACCCUUGAUGUCUUUGCCUCCAACGAUGUCUUGCAGCUUCUCUAUUGGCAGUGACACAAGGCUAUUGUGUUGCAACCCACAUUGUACAAGCAAUCAUUGUUCUUUGAAGUAUGAUCCAAAUUAUGAUACUCAAACUGCACUUUAUAUCCAGAUAUUGACAAGGAUGAGGUUGAACGUCCAAGGAGAUAAUUUACAUGUGAGGAUGGAGACAAACUUUAUCAAAUUUUAUAUGUCAAGUUUAAGUUUUUUUUAUUAAGUUUAAUGUAUUAAAGCAAUUUGAAUUUGUAAUAGAUUUUGAACACAUGGAUUUAUACAAAA